GUUUCAAUUUAAUUUUUAUUAGAAUUUUAUUUUUUAGUAAAAAAGCUAAAAUUUAAUUAAAAGACGAGAAGACCCUAUAAAUCUUUAUAAUUUUAGAUAUUUUAACUUUUUAAGGAAAUUUUUGUUAUAAAAUUUAAAAUUAUUUUAUUGGGGUGAUAUUGAAAUUUAAAUAACUUUUAAUUUAUGAAUAACAUAAAUUUAUGAAUAAAUUGAUCCAUUAAUAAUGAUUAAAAAAUUAAGUUACUUUAGGGAUAACAGCGUAAUUUUUUUGGAGAGUUCAUAUCGAUAAAAAAGUUUGCGACCUCGAUGUUGGAUUAAGAAAUAAUUUUAAUGUAGAAGUUAAAAAAUAAAGUCUGUUCGACUUUUAAAUUCUUACAUGAUCUGAGUUCAAACCGGUGUAAGCCAGGUUGGUUUCUAUCUUUAAUAGAAUAUAAUAUUUUAGUACGAAAGGAAUAAAUAUUAAAAAUUAUUAUUUUAAAUAGAAU
RNAcentral lists this ribosomal RNA (485 nucleotides) under Diasemopsis longipedunculata. RNAcentral's name for it is "partial 16S ribosomal RNA". The stretch from base 251 to 409 matches the Rfam family "Bacterial large subunit ribosomal RNA", at positions 2473 to 2632 of the family's 2925-position model. The record is from RNAcentral. Lineage: Eukaryota; Metazoa; Arthropoda; Insecta; Diptera; Diopsidae.